AGAUACAUGCAGAAUGGGGAGGGGCCCUUUCCCAAAGGGAAGGGAUGGCUUUUAAUAGUAAAAAAGUGAGAAAAGAGUUGCCGAGAAGACAAUAGGACAGAUUCAUGCUAGAGAUAAUCAUUUAUAACUGAUCUAGCUAGAAUUUUACUGUCAUUGUAUAGAUUAAAAUAGAGCUUUGAAAUUUUAUGUAUCAAGUUCUUCAUUCCCUAUGAGAGUAUGUUUGUCACGUCAUUACUUCUGGUAAACAUAUCCUAAAAUAUUGAAGGAAACUAUUAUUUUUCAGAGCUGCAUUAAAAGUGGUAAUAGAAAGGGCUAUGCUGGGAUAUCUCACCAAAAGCAACAAAUUCUCACAAAUUGUUCAUUUGGUGAUUUCCCUCUUUCUGCCCUUGCUAAAAGUAGCUGAAUGAAAAGUGGAUAGGUCAAGGAUGUGGUAGGAGCUUCUGCUUUUUGGAUGAGAAGCAAACAACCGUGAUAAACUUCAGGUCUGUCCUUCCAUCACCUUGACAUCAGCUUUUCCUCCAUCUAUGGAAAGUUCCAUUGUGUCCCUGUCCAGUGUGACAAGGCACUAGAAAUCAGAGCUGCUCUGUCUGUUCUCUGUGCCAGUCAUUUCCUUUCUGUUCCUGGCGCUCGUCUAAGUGAAGAGAGGAAAGAAAAAUGGAGGGGAGGGAAAGAACAGAGUGGAGAGAAUGAAUAUUUCAGAUUGGUUUGUACACUCUCAAAACACAGGUCCUGGAGUAGAGUUAUCGUGUCUCACACGCCAGCAUCCUUUCCGCCAUCAGAGCUGGAAUGUGGAUGUGAUGGCUGGAGCUCCAGCAACUGUUUUAUGACCUUGAGUAUGGAAUUCACACUUGAAGAAGCCACAAACUGAGAAUGGGAGAACAGAAAGAGAAAAGCAUCUUGAUUCCCUGAUGAUUUC
This 916-nucleotide long non-coding RNA is filed under the name Equus asinus (donkey). Its description in RNAcentral is "lncRNA (ENSEASG00005038670.1, ENSEASG00020007370.1)". Lineage: Eukaryota; Metazoa; Chordata; Mammalia; Perissodactyla; Equidae. The record is from RNAcentral.